This 405-nucleotide ribosomal RNA is filed under the name uncultured bacterium. RNAcentral describes it as "bacterial SSU rRNA". It matches the Rfam family "Bacterial small subunit ribosomal RNA", at positions 355 to 774 of the family's 1533-position model. The record is from RNAcentral.
UGGGGAAUAUUGGGCAAUGGGCGAAAGCCUGACCCAGCAACGCCGCGUGAAGGAAGAAGGCUUUCGGGUUGUAAACUUCUUUUAUCAGGGACGAAGGAUGUGACGGUACCUGAUGAAUAAGCCACGGCUAACUACGUGCCAGCAGCCGCGGUAAUACGUAGGUGGCAAGCGUUGUCCGGAUUUACUGGGUGUAAAGGGCGCGCAGGCGGGAGAGCAAGUCAGAUGUGAAAUCUAUGGGCUUAACCCAUAAACUGCAUUUGAAACUGUUUUUCUUGAGUGAUGGAGAGGCAAGCGGAAUUCCUAGUGUAGCGGUGAAAUGCGUAGAUAUUAGGAGGAACACCAGUGGCGAAGGCGGCUUGCUGGACAUUAACUGACGCUGAGGCGCGAAAGCGUGGGGAGCAAACA